UGAGGGUGAAUUGUCAACUAUUCUAGUGGU
Molecule: non-coding RNA, 30 nt
Filed under: Mus musculus (house mouse)
Lineage: Eukaryota; Metazoa; Chordata; Mammalia; Rodentia; Muridae
Source: RNAcentral